AUACGGAGGAUCCGAGCGUUAUCCGGAUUUAUUGGGUUUAAAGGGUGCGCAGGCGGGAGAUUAAGUCGGCGGUGAAAUUUUUCAGCUCAACUGUAAAAGUGCCUUCGAAACUGGGUUUCUUGAGUGUGGAUGAAGUAGGCGGAAUUUGUGGUGUAGCGGUGAAAUGCAUAGAUAUCACGAGGAACUCCGAUUGCGCAGGCAGCUUACUAAACCAUAACGGACGCUCAGGCACGAAGGCGUGGGGAUCAAACAGGAUUAGAUACCCUGGUAGUCCACGCAGUAAACGAUGAUUACUAGCUGUUUGCGAUACAAUGUAAGCGGCUGAGCGAAAGCGUUAAGUAAUCCACCUGGGGAGUACGUUCGCAAGAAUGAAACUCAAAGGAAUUGACGGGG
This 393-nucleotide ribosomal RNA is filed under the name uncultured bacterium. Its description in RNAcentral is "partial 16S ribosomal RNA". It matches the Rfam family "Bacterial small subunit ribosomal RNA", at positions 523 to 918 of the family's 1533-position model. The record is from RNAcentral.